GCGGCGAACGGGUGAUUAACGCGUAGAUACUUAUUCUUAGUGGAAGAUAGCCAGUCGAAAGAUUGGGUAAUACUCCAUGUGAUUGAAAAAUCAAAGCCGUAAGGCGCUAAACAAAAGGUCUGCGUCCCAUCAGCUAGUUGGUAGGGUAAUGGCCUACCAAGGCUAAGACGGGUAGCUGGUCUGAGAGGAUGAUCAGCCACACUGGAACUGCGACACGGUCCAGACACCUACGGGUGGCAGCAGUGAGGAAUUUUCGGCAAUGGGGGAAACCCUGACCGAGCUAUGCCGCGUGUCGGAUGAAGGCCUAUGGGUUGUAAACGACUGUGGUAGUCUACUAAUAAAAUGACCAGACUACUAGAAAGAGGUUGCUAACUCUGUGCCAGCAGCAGCGGUAAUACAGAGACCUCAAGCGUUAUCCGGUUUCACUGGGCGUACAGCGUUCCGAAGGCUGUCAAAUGUGUCUAAAGUGAAAGACUGAAGCUCAACUUCACG
This 492-nucleotide ribosomal RNA is filed under the name uncultured cyanobacterium. Its description in RNAcentral is "bacterial SSU rRNA". It matches the Rfam family "Bacterial small subunit ribosomal RNA", at positions 95 to 619 of the family's 1533-position model. The record is from RNAcentral. Lineage: Bacteria; Bacillati; Cyanobacteriota.